GAUAGCUCUGUGCUGAACAGCAUUAAUACAAGAAAAAUCUCUGGUGCCCCAAAUGGCUGCACCAUAACUUAUGACUGACCAGACUAAGCUAUCAAAAAGUUUUGUAUAUGUAUUAAAGUGGAAACCUCCAUGUGCUUUACUCUUUACAAUCAGUAAACUUAAUGCUCUCCCUGCUGACCUGGCUACAGAUUUUGCCAUUUCAUUAUAAUCAAGAAGUUCAGUCAACAAUAGACCAAGAUAUUGAUAUUUUGAUACAAUACACAAUUGUUUUUCACCAAGUAAAAAUAUUACAUUUGUUGGUUG
RNAcentral lists this long non-coding RNA (303 nucleotides) under Mytilus galloprovincialis (Mediterranean mussel). The record is from RNAcentral. Lineage: Eukaryota; Metazoa; Mollusca; Bivalvia; Mytilida; Mytilidae.